RNAcentral lists this ribosomal RNA (383 nucleotides) under uncultured Alphaproteobacteria bacterium. Its description in RNAcentral is "bacterial SSU rRNA". It matches the Rfam family "Bacterial small subunit ribosomal RNA", at positions 9 to 416 of the family's 1533-position model. The record is from RNAcentral. Lineage: Bacteria; Pseudomonadati; Pseudomonadota; Alphaproteobacteria.
GAGUUUGAUCCUGGCUCAGAACGAACGCUGGCGGCAGGCCUAACACAUGCAAGUCGAGCGGCCGUAGCAAUACGGCAGCGGCGCACGGGUGAGUAACGCGUGGGAACCUACCCUUUGGUUCGGAACAACCCUGGGAAACUAGGGCUAAUACCGGAUGAUCCCCGAGAGGGGGAAAGAUUUAUCGCCGAAGGAGGGGCCCGCGUCCGAUUAGCUAGUUGGUGAGGUAAGAGCUUACCAAGGCGACGAUCGGUAGCCGGUCUGAGAGGACGAUCGGCCACACUGGGACUGAGACACGGCCCAGACUCCUACGGGAGGCAGCAGUGGGGAAUAUUGGACAAUGGGCGCAAGCCUGAUCCAGCCAUGCCGCGUGGAUGAUGAAGGCC